Medicago truncatula (barrel medic) is the source of this 103-nucleotide small nuclear RNA. NCBI's taxonomy places the organism in Eukaryota, Viridiplantae, Streptophyta, Magnoliopsida, Fabales, Fabaceae. The record is from Rfam.
GUCCCUUCAGGGACAUCCGAUAAAAUUAAAACAAUACAUAGAAGAUUAACAUGGCUCCUGCACAAGGAUGACACGCACCAAUCGAGAAAUGGUCCAAACAUCA